CAGGGAGAGAACUGAACCAGGACGCAGUCAGACUGUGCCAAGAGGGGCAGCAGAGAGGCGCAGAUCGUCCCUCAGGUGACAGAACAAGAGCCGUGACCCUGUUAGCAUGAGGCUAUGGACCGAAACUGAAGAAAAGGGUAGAAAGAGCGAAAGUGCGACAUGCAGAAAGUGCGACCGAAGGCGGAGCUGAGGAUUCUGACUGAGUGUCAGUAUUCUCAUCCCGUAGAAACUCUCUUGGACCUUCAGGAGGCUCGGUCUCGGUUUCCUGAUCUUUCUUUGUAUGCUGAUUAUUACUGUUUCCCAAACAAGGAGACUAAAAAGCUAGUCUUCCUGGCGGGCACGCUUCCUGUUUUAUAUGAAGGAAGUACAUACAAUAUUCCAGUGUGUGUUUGGCUACACGUGACCCAUCCAGAGUCCUGCCCUCGCUGCUACGUUUGUCCGUCCGCCUCUAUGGUAAUCAACCCGUCCUGUCCCUGCAUCAAUGCGUCGGGUAACAUCAGUCUGGACGGGCUUACUAAAUGGACUCGGGGUGUUUCCAGCCUAUCAGAACUGCUGGCUGAGAUGAUACAGGUCUUUCAAAGAGAUACGCCGAUUUAUGCUAGGUGCCCUGUCCAAGCUCCAUCCUUUGCAGAUGUGCACCUGUCAGCUGUCAAAGCUCCGGCCUCUGCAAAUGUGCAGUUGUCAUCUGUCCGAGCUCCAUCUACUACAGCUCCCCUCCCUGCUGGCGUGCACCUGUCAGCUGUCCAAACUCCAUCCUCUCCAGUCGUGCACCUGUCACCUGUUGAAGCUCCGCCACCUGCAAGGAAGCAUCAGUCACCUGGUCAAGCUUUGCCCCCUCUUUCCAGCAUCCAAAAUAUUUCUUCCAGAUCUUCCCCUCUGAAUAUACAACUGCCCAACCCCUCCUCUCACCUAAGUGGACACAAAGCUAGUGGAUGGGACCAGAGCAGCCAGGGGGGGGUGCGUUCGUCCUAUGUAGAAGAGCUUCAAGGAAUCGACUUCAGCGCCCCUCCUUUGUCCUCCAACGUCAGCACUAAUCCGUUCUUAGGUUCCGCCUCAUCAGGUGACACUCUUGUAGACCCCCUCAGCAGCACCAUGGCAGCUCUGAUUUUGGAAGAAGGAUCCAGUAGAAACCACCAGGAUGGCUUCACUGCUCCAAAGGUCACAUUUAAAGGAGCUCAGGACAGUGCCACCGCAGGUUCUGGAGCAGACUUCAGCAAGCUGGCUGCUCGGCUCCCAGCGGACCAGGCAGCAGUCUUCCUCGCUUUGAUGACCUUGCAGGGGCAGAGUUUCAGUCCUGCUGAUGCUCUAGAAGCCGUCCAGCUCAACAAGGAUUUCUCAUCAGCACUGAAGUUCUUGACUCACACCUGCCCCAUCUGUCAUGAACAGGUGUCCUUCAGCAAGAUUGUCACCAUGACUCACUGUUCCUGCUUCCUGUGUCAGGUGUGCUUCACAGCUUUCUUCUCUGUAGCUAUUAAGGAGCGCAGUGUAGAUCAGUUGGUCUGUCCUCAAUGUGGUAAGCCUGAGGUUCGAGCUCAAGGAGGGCUGGAGGACGCCACUGAGUACUUCAACCUGCUGGAUACACAGAUUCGUCACUACUUGCCUCGUGACAUCCAUGAACUCUUCCAGAGGAAGCUCAGAGACCGAACUCUUCGGGAAAUGCCCGACUUCUGCUGGUGUGCCCAUUGUUCAUUUGGGAUUCUCCAUGAGGCGGAGCGUCUCCGGAUGGACUGUCCCAGCUGUAAGAAGAGCACCUGCUCUCGGUGCAGGUCACCUUGGGCCCCCCAGCAUCAAAGACUCUCGUGUGAGCAGUUCAAGGCUUGGCAGGAGCAGAACCAGCUAGACCAUCACGGCUCCACCCCGAUCUCUAACAGCAUUGAAUGUCCCGGCUGCCGCUCCGUCUUCAGCCUGGCCAGAGGAGGUUGCCUGCAUUUCACCUGCACUCAGUGUCAGCACCAGUUCUGUGGCGGCUGUGCCAGGACCUUCACAGCAGGAUCUGCCUGUGGUUUCUCUGCCGAGUGUGGAACCAAAGGCCUUCAUGCCCAUCACCCCAGAGACUGCCUGUUUCACCUCAGAGACUGGAGCGUGAGCCGCCUUCUCCUGCUGCUCCAGCAUUACAGAAUAUCUCCAGCCUGGAUAAAACCAGCCAGUGGCAGCUCAUCUGAUGGCACACAGACAGCUGUAUGUUCUGUGUUGGAGCUCAGAGAUGAUGGCAGCAAAAGGGAGGAGCCAUGUGGACGUCCAACACCGCAGGGGUUUCAAGGAUACUGCCAGUAAAACCAGCUCCCCCAAUCAAAGUCUAGUUCUAGCCCUGUUCUCUCCACUUAGUCCUGUUCCUCUUCAGCCCGGCAGAGAUGGUGGCAGAACUCCAGCGAUGGCGAAUCCCGGUGCCGUCCAUGAGGCCCGAUGAGCCGGAGCCAUUGUAUGCACAUCGACUGCGCCUUAUGUUGACCAAUCACAUUCCUCUCCGGUACUAACGGUGUUCUUCACUGACGCUAUGAGAGACGGCUGAAGCCCCGCCCUGUGCGACUGUCUUCUUCCAUACUUGUGUACCAGCUGGAGGACGUCUCCAAUAACUCUCCAUUGGGUGACAAUGACAUCAAGGGUGUGGCCAAACCUGGCUAGUAACUUCUGAUUAGCCCCUAGUAUCCACAGGAAGAAAAAGAUCAACCUUGAUAGGGACCAAACAUCACUGAGUAGCUAAUUGAAGCUUACUAAUAAACCAGCACUAGGCGAACAAGCGCUCCAGGUGUUAGUGUUUUAACUGUUUAUUUAACAAAUAAAUAUAGUUUCAUGUU
RNA transcript from Oryzias latipes (Japanese medaka), 2795 nucleotides. It is a transcript of the gene named E3 ubiquitin-protein ligase RNF31, with no coding region annotated. The record is from RefSeq and is a predicted model, not a curated record. Lineage: Eukaryota; Metazoa; Chordata; Actinopteri; Beloniformes; Adrianichthyidae.